RNAcentral lists this ribosomal RNA (459 nucleotides) under uncultured bacterium. RNAcentral describes it as "partial 16S ribosomal RNA". It matches the Rfam family "Bacterial small subunit ribosomal RNA", at positions 338 to 795 of the family's 1533-position model. The record is from RNAcentral.
CCUACGGGUGGCAGCAGUGAGGAAUAUUGGUCAAUGGGCGGGAGCCUGAACCAGCCAAGUCGCGUGAGGGAUGAAGGUUCUGAGUAUUGUAAACCUCUUUUGUCAGGGGACAAAGGCGGCCACGGGAGGCCGUAAGUGGGUACCUGGAGAAUAAGCAUCGGCUAACUCCGUGCCAGCAGCCGCGGUAAUACGGAGGAUGCGAGCGUUAUCCGGAUUUAUUGGGUUUAAGGGGUGCGCAGGCGGCGAGUCAAGUCAGCGGGAAAAUGUCGGGGCUCAACCCCGACCGGCCGUUGAAACUGGCUUGCUCGAGUUGGAGUGAAGUAUGCGGAAUGCGUGGUGUAGCGGUGAAAUGCAUAGAUAUCACGAAGAACCCCGAUUGCGAAGGCAGCAUACCAGCUCCACACUGACGCUGAGGCACGAAAGCGUGGGUAUCGAACAGGAUUAGAUACCCUAGUAGUC